UAGGGAAUAUUGCAAAAUGGGCGAAAGCCCGAUGCAGCAACGCCGCGUGGGCGAUGAAGGCCUUCGGGUCGUAAAGCCCUUUUUGAGGGGAUGAGGAAGGACAGUACCCUCAGAAUAAGCCUCGGCUAACUACGUGCCAGCAGCCGCGGUAAAACGUAGGAGGCGAGCGUUAUCCGGAUUUACUGGGCGUAAAGCGCGUGCAGGCGGAUUGGAGAGUUGGGUGUGAAAGCUCCCGGCUUAACUGGGAGAGGUCGUUCAAUACUUCCAGUCUUGAGUGCAGUAGAGGGAAGUGGAAUUCCGGGUGUAGUGGUGAAAUGCGUAGAUAUCCGGAGGAACACCAGUGGCGAAAGCGGCUUCCUGGACUGUAACUGACGCUCAGACGCGAAAGCUAGGGUAGCAAACG
This 403-nucleotide ribosomal RNA is filed under the name uncultured bacterium. RNAcentral describes it as "bacterial SSU rRNA". It matches the Rfam family "Bacterial small subunit ribosomal RNA", at positions 355 to 774 of the family's 1533-position model. The record is from RNAcentral.